Non-coding RNA from Nomia melanderi (Alkali bee), 2400 nucleotides. The record is from RefSeq and is a predicted model, not a curated record. NCBI's taxonomy places the organism in Eukaryota, Metazoa, Arthropoda, Insecta, Hymenoptera, Halictidae.
CUCUUGCUUCCUAGAGCGGCACUUCGUCAUUUUCACAUCCGUGCGAAAUCCCGAACGAACGGGCAGAGAGAGAGCCGCGUCGCCAUCUUUAGGAACGGUACCGACUGCCUCCGCUACCACCGCCUGCUUCGUUCCGACGAGCUUGAAAGUCAGUUUCGCGGUUACAGUAAAACGAUCGGUGUGUUCAGUGCGAUAGCGCAUACGUUGAUACCUGUCACGGAGUGAGACGCGGGUAUUUAACCGUUUCGCGAUGUUCAUUUAAUAACGUCCGAGCCUCUGUCUCUCUCUGUGUGUGUGUGCGUGCCGUGUAAGUUCAGCAGACGACGUUUCCACAAGCGUGUACCGAGGGUUGAGAACGAUCCGAGGUCCGACGUCGUUCUUUGCGCUUCGUUCGAACCCCUGUUUAAAACUAUCAUCUAAUUACAGAUUCCGCCGCUUGGUACGUUCCACCGUGAAACAACCGGAGUGUGUAGUGUUUUGAUUUGUCCGAGCGAGUGGGGAACGAGCUACGUCCGACUUUGCGAGUGUUCCGAGGCUGCGUAUCGGAAGACAGGAAUAAAAAGAAAGGGAGAGGAAGUAUCGAGAGGUGGCCGUAGCGAACGACAGCGACGACGGUCUAGCACAAUUGACAGGAAAGAUGGCGCGAGGUGCGGGCGAGGAUUAAUGCUGACCCAUUUUUCCGCGCGAAAUCAUUCGUUCUUACUUUGUCGUACGAUAAAGGGACCACUAAAGUUAGAACAAAGUGCGAAUAGUAACUCAGUUCUAAUUAAGUGAAUCGAUCCGAAUAAGAAACCGAAUAAAAAUAAAAAGAAAAACGGUGGUGCACCGUACGCGUGUGCGUCCGAUUCUAAGUGUGAGUGUCCCUUUAGACGUGUGUGAAUCUUUUAGGGCCAGCAUUGACAGGCAUCCUGACGGACUACCUUAACUCAUUGGACGAACGGGGAGAGGACAAUAAAAAAGGAACGCGUGUGUGAAAGAAGACCGUGCAAAAGGUGUCUAAGAAGUGUUCAUAGAAGGUAGGAAACAAAUAUAUAUAUAUUCUGAAAAGGACCGGAGGUUGGCGGGGCCUUGACGGGCGCAACUGCGGUGGAAGACCAAAUCAAGACGAAGACGCAGUCUUCUGGAACUUCUCGAGCUGCGUAGAGCCCUGGCAGGCUCGGGUACGAGCGCGGCUGCUAAGAUGGGCAACAAUGCCGCGACCGCGAACAAAAAGGUUGACGCCGCCGAGAGCGUCAAGGAGUUUCUCGACAAGGCAAAGAAAGAGUUCGAGGACAAGUGGAAGAAGAACCCGACGAACACCGCCGAUCUCAAUGACUUCGAGCGUAUCAAGACGCUCGGGACCGGCUCGUUCGGCCGUGUCAUGAUAGUGCAACACAAGCCGACCAAAGAGUAUUACGCCAUGAAGAUACUCGACAAGCAAAAGGUCGUGAAACUCAAGCAGGUCGAACACACUUUAAAUGAGAAGAGGAUACUGCAAGCGAUCAGCUUUCCGUUCCUAGUAUCCUUGCGGUUUCACUUCAAGGAUAACUCGUACCUGUACAUGGUGCUCGAAUACGUCCCCGGUGGCGAGAUGUUCAGCCACCUGCGUAAGGUCGGCCGCUUCACGGAACCGCAUUCCCGUUUCUACGCGGCGCAGAUCGUGCUCGCGUUCGAGUAUCUCCACUACCUCGACCUGAUCUACAGGGAUCUGAAACCGGAGAAUCUGCUGAUCGACUCGCAGGGCUACCUGAAGGUCACGGAUUUCGGUUUCGCGAAAAGGGUGCAGGGCAGAACGUGGACCCUAUGCGGCACGCCUGAGUACCUAGCGCCCGAGAUCAUCCUCAGCAAAGGAUAUAACAAGGCUGUCGACUGGUGGGCGCUAGGCGUCCUCGUCUACGAGAUGGCCGCCGGUUACCCGCCGUUCUUUGCCGACCAGCCGAUACUAAUCUAUGAGAAGAUCGUCUCGGGGAAGCCCCGGUUCCCGUCGCAUUUCGGUUCCGAUCUAAAGGACUUGCUGCGGAACCUGCUGCAGGUCGACUUGACCAAGAGGUACGGCAACCUGAAGGCCGGCGUGAACGACAUCAAGGGUCACAAGUGGUUCGCCAGUACCGAUUGGAUAGCGGUCUUCCAAAAGAAAAUCGAGGCCCCGUUUAUACCGAAAUGCAAAGGGCCCGGGGACACCAGCAACUUCGACGACUACGAGGAAGAGACGCUCAGGAUUUCGCUGACCGAGAAGUGCGCCAAGGAAUUCGCCGAGUUCUGAAUUCCCGUGCGGACCGGGGAUGGAUACACGUGUCGCGUAUUUAUUCAUAUAUGCGAUGGUUCGUCGUCACUCGUUGGUCGCUUUUAUCGAGCGAGAGAAAUAUGAUAGAUGAAGAACAAUAGAACAAGCUGCACAAUGAGAGUCCGCAAACUUAGUGU